UACGUAGGGUGCGAGCGUUGUCCGGAAUUAUUGGGCGUAAAGAGCUCGUAGGCGGUCUGUCACGUCGGCUGUGAAAUCCCGAGGCUCAACCUCGGGUCUGCAGUCGAUACGGGCAAACUAGAGUAUUGCAGGGGAGACUGGGAUUCCUGGUGUAGCGGUGAAAUGCGCAGAUAUCAGGAGGAACACCGGUGGCGAAGGCGGGUCUCUGGGCAAUAACUGACGCUGAGGAGCGAAAGCGUGGGGAGCGAACAGG
Molecule: ribosomal RNA, 253 nt
Filed under: uncultured bacterium
Lineage: Bacteria
Description: partial 16S ribosomal RNA
Rfam family: Bacterial small subunit ribosomal RNA
Source: RNAcentral